CCUACGGGAGGCAGCAGUGGGGGAUAUUGGACAAUGGGGGGAACCCUGAUCCAGCGACGCCGCGGGAGUGAAGAAGUAUUUCGGUAUGUAAAACUCUGUCAGCAGGGGAGAAAGAAAUGCCGGUACCUGACCAAGAAGCCCCGGCUAACUACGUGCCAGCAGCCGAGGUAAUACGUAGGGGGCAAGCGUUAUCCGGAAUUACUGGGUGUAAAGGGAGCGUAGAGGGGUAAGUAAGUCUGGAGUGAAAGGCCGGGGCCCAACCCCGGGACUGCGGUGGAAACUAUUGAACUUGAGUGCAGGAGAGGUAUGCGGAAUGCGUAGUGUAGCGGUGAAAUGCGUAGAUAUUAGGAGGAACACCAGUGGCGAAGGCGGCUUACUGGACUGUAACUGACGUUGAGGCUCGAAAGCGUGGGGAGCGAACAGGAUUAGAUACCCCUGUAGUC
RNAcentral lists this ribosomal RNA (443 nucleotides) under uncultured bacterium. Its description in RNAcentral is "partial 16S ribosomal RNA". It matches the Rfam family "Bacterial small subunit ribosomal RNA", at positions 338 to 795 of the family's 1533-position model. The record is from RNAcentral.